This 262-nucleotide ribosomal RNA is filed under the name uncultured bacterium. RNAcentral describes it as "partial 16S ribosomal RNA". It matches the Rfam family "Bacterial small subunit ribosomal RNA", at positions 524 to 784 of the family's 1533-position model. The record is from RNAcentral.
UACAGAGGGUGCAAACGUUGCUCGGAAUCAUUGGGCGUAAAGCGCACGUAGGCGGUCUGAUAAGUCGGAUGUGAAAGCCCUGGGCUCAACCCGGGAAUUGCCUUUGAGACUGGGGGUCGUUGAGUAUGGGAGAGGGUGGCGGAAUACCCAGUGUAGAGGUGAAAUUCGUAGAUAUUGGGUAGAACACCAGUGGCGAAGGCGGCCACCUGGCCCAUAACUGACGCUGAGGCGCGAAAGCGUGGGGAGCAAACAGGAUUAGAAA